GGGUUUUUUUCUGCAUAACUAAAGGAGGGUUUUGGAGAUGAGAACACUUACAGAAAAUAUGAGAGUGUGAAGUAAAUGGUCUCAACCAGUGAAUGGAAAAAGGAAAGUAACUUCAAAUUUUGGAAAGGGAUCCAGAACAAAAUCAUCAAGUUGAAGAUCCUGGAAGAUGACUGAAGCUCAGCCAGGGGGAAGCCUUUUGAUGGUGAAGUGUCAGAGAGCAAAGGAGGAACUGUCAACAAUGGUGAUUCCACUAAUGAAAAUAUCCAAUGUGAGCUGGUGGUCCUUUGCUUGUUGUUCUGAGGUAAGUGAACAUGUGAUUUGGCCACAGUGUUUUACUUCCAACCUAAAAUGACUUUACUGCCUCUCUCUUUCCCUGGCUGAUUUCU
Molecule: small RNA, 386 nt
Filed under: Pan troglodytes (chimpanzee)
Lineage: Eukaryota; Metazoa; Chordata; Mammalia; Primates; Hominidae
Description: processed transcript
Source: RNAcentral